GGGAUUACAUCCUCUACAAGUCAAAACCUCCUCCAAUCCACCCCAAUCCCCCUGUGAGGAGGUGUAACCGAACAAAGCCUCAAGGAUUUGGUCGCCCGACACGAGACGCCGCCGCCCGACUCGACACGCCGCCGCGACUCCUCCCAAGACCCCGUCGCCGACUCCUCCGCAAGACGCCGCGCCGCCCGACGCCUCAACGCCUCGACGCCGGCGAUCUCCUCCGUCAUACUAGACUUCUCCCCGGUGCCAACAGCCUGGGUUCUUGUUGGGAUGGCGGGUUGCCUCCAUCUUGGGAUCCAAUCGUCAGUUUUAUGUUGUAGGCUGACUCAACUUGUACGUCUCCCAUCUAGGUUGGGCGGUGAUCCUUUCUGAACGGGGCCUUUUCAUUGUUUCAUUAGCCUGCCAAUUCUACAUAAAUAUCCUUUGUCCUGACAAAAGGUUGUUCCUGAAAAAAGAUUUACAAUUCCUGCCAUAGUAUCCAUUUUGUUCAGCUAUUUGCUGUAAUCUUUUUUUCUAAAGGCACUCUAAUGUUCAUAUCUUUUGUUUCAUCGGGUUCUCAUGCACCAAAAGAAGCAACAAAAGAUGGAUACAUUUCUCUCAAGCACUCUGGAUGAAUGAAUUUCUCUCAGGUUGUCGAUGCUAGAUGACCAUGACACCAAAAGAACAUUUGUAUGCAUUAUCUUCGUUGCAAAAUGAUAUUGUGGCUGUGAUGAACUGUUUGCUACGAAAGAUUAUGUUGUUAUGAUAAAUUAUGAAUGCUGGGAUUUGGGUUUCAAAGACAUUUUGUUAUGAUAAAUUAUGUAGUUGUUGUGAUGAGAUAUUGAUUUCAUCUUGUGAAAGCAGCAACACGGC
RNAcentral lists this ribosomal RNA (852 nucleotides) under Triticum aestivum (bread wheat). Its description in RNAcentral is "partial small subunit ribosomal RNA". Lineage: Eukaryota; Viridiplantae; Streptophyta; Magnoliopsida; Poales; Poaceae. The record is from RNAcentral.